This 408-nucleotide ribosomal RNA is filed under the name uncultured bacterium. Its description in RNAcentral is "partial 16S ribosomal RNA". It matches the Rfam family "Bacterial small subunit ribosomal RNA", at positions 28 to 526 of the family's 1533-position model. The record is from RNAcentral.
GACGAACGCUGGCGGCGUGCUUAACACAUGCAAGUCGAACGAAGUGGCGAACGGGUGAGUAACGCGUAAUCAACCUGCCCUUCAGAGGGGGACAACAGUUGGAAACGACUGCUAAUACCGCAUACUGAAGGAGGGGAUUGCGUCUGAUUAGCUAGUUGGGGGGGUAACGGCCCACCAAGGCGAUGGUCAGUCGGCGGUCUGGGAGGAUGAACGGCCACAUUUGGGCUUGGACACGGCCCAGACUCCUACGGGAGGCAGCAGUGGGGAAUCUUCCGCAAUGGACGAAAGUCUGGCGGAGCAACGCCGCGUGAGUGAUGACGGCCUUCGGGUUGGAAAGCUCUGUUAAGCGGGACGCGGUACCGGAAUAGAAAGCCACGGCUAACUACGUGCCAGCAGCCGCGGUAAUUC